RNAcentral lists this ribosomal RNA (1490 nucleotides) under uncultured bacterium. RNAcentral's name for it is "partial 16S ribosomal RNA". It matches the Rfam family "Bacterial small subunit ribosomal RNA". The record is from RNAcentral.
AGAGUUUGAUUAUGGCUCAGGAUGAACGCUAGCGGCAGGCUUAACACAUGCAAGUCGAGGGGCAUCGGGAGGAAAGCUUGCUUUCCUUGCCGGCGACCGGCGCACGGGUGAGUAACACGUAUGCAACCUGCCCUCUUCAGGGGGACAACCUUCCGAAAGGGAGGCUAAUCCCGCGUAUAUCGGUUUCGGGCAUCCGAGGUCGAGGAAAGAUUCAUCGGAAGAGGAUGGGCAUGCGGCGCAUUAGCUAGACGGCGGGGUAACGGCCCACCGUGGCGACGAUGCGUAGGGGUUCUGAGAGGAAGGUCCCCCACACUGGUACUGAGACACGGACCAGACUCCUACGGGAGGCAGCAGUGAGGAAUAUUGGUCAAUGGGAGAGAUCCUGAACCAGCCAAGCCGCGUGAGGGAAGACGGCCCUAUGGGUUGUAAACCUCUUUUGUCGGAGAACAAAACCCGGGACGUGUCCCGGACUGCGUGUAUCCGAAGAAAAAGCAUCGGCUAACUCCGUGCCAGCAGCCGCGGUAAUACGGAGGAUGCGAGCGUUAUCCGGAUUUAUUGGGUUUAAAGGGUGCGUAGGCGGUCCGUUAAGUCAGCGGUAAAAUUGCGGGGCUCAACCCCGUCGAGCCGUUGAAACUGGCAGACUUGAGCUGGCGAGAAGUACGCGGAAUGCGCGGUGUAGCGGUGAAAUGCAUAGAUAUCGCGCAGAACUCCGAUUGCGAAGGCAGCGUACCGGCGCCAGACUGACGCUGAGGCACGAAAGCGUGGGGAUCGAACAGGAUUAGAUACCCUGGUAGUCCACGCAGUAAACGAUGAAUGCUGGUUGUCCGGGUCGAAUGAGAUCUGGGCGGCGAAGCGAAAGCGAUAAGCAUUCCACCUGGGGAGUACGCCGGCAACGGUGAAACUCAAAGGAAUUGACGGGGGCCCGCACAAGCGGAGGAACAUGUGGUUUAAUUCGAUGAUACGCGAGGAACCUUACCCGGGCUCAAACGGGAGUGGAAUGGACCAGAGACGGUUCAGCCUACGGGUCGCUUCCGAGGUGCUGCAUGGUUGUCGUCAGCUCGUGCCGUGAGGUGUCGGCUUAAGUGCCAUAACGAGCGCAACCCCCGCCGGCAGUUGCUAACGGGCAAUGCCGAGGACUCUGCCGGGACUGCCGCCGCAAGGCGUGAGGAAGGCGGGGAUGACGUCAAAUCAGCACGGCCCUUACGUCCGGGGCGACACACGUGUUACAAUGGGCGGUACAGCGGGAAGCCAGGCGGCGACGCCGAGCGGGACCCGAAAGCCGUUCUCAGUUCGGAUCGGAGUCUGCAACCCGACUCCGUGAAGCUGGAUUCGCUAGUAAUCGCGCAUCAGCCAUGGCGCGGUGAAUACGUUCCCGGGCCUUGUACACACCGCCCGUCAAGCCAUGGGAGCCGGGGGUGCUUGAAGUGCGUCGCCGCGAGGCGCGCCCUAGAGCAAAACCGGUGACUGGGGCUAAGUCGUAACAAGGUAGC